GGAGGACAGUGGCGAAAGGGUGAGUAACACGUGAGUAUCUACCUCCAGGUCGGGAACAGCCCGCGGAAACGCGGAUUAAUGCCCGAUGGUCCCUUCGGGGUAAAGAGGAAUCGCCCGGAGACGAGCUCGCGGCCCAUCAGCUUGUUGGCGGGGUAACGGCCCACCAAGGCGACGACGGGUAGGUGGUCUGAGAGGAUGGUCACCCACACUGGGACUGAGAUACUGCCCAGACUCCUACGGGAGGCUGCAGUCGAGAAUCAUCCGCAAUGGGCGAAAGCCUGACGGUGCAAUGCCGCGUGGGGGAUGAAGGCCUUCGGGUCGUAAACCCCUGUCAGAGGGGACGAAAAACAUGACGGUACCCUCAGAGGAGGCCACGGCUAACUACGUGCCAGCAGCCGCGGUAAUACGUAGGUGGCGAGCGUUAUUCGGAUUUACUGGGCGUAAAGGGUCCGCAGGGGGUUUGCCGAGUCCGAUGUGAAAGUCCGCAGCUCAACUGCGGAACUGCGUCGGAUACUGGUGAACUUGAGUGCGCGAAGGGCGAGCGGAAUUCCAGGUGUAGCGGUGGAAUGCGUAGAUAUCUGGAAGAACACCGGCGGUGAAAGCGGCUCGCUGGCGCGCCACUGACCCUCAUGGACGAAAGCGUGGGGAGCGAACCAGGAUUAGAUACCCUGGUAGUCCACGC
Molecule: ribosomal RNA, 682 nt
Filed under: uncultured organism
Description: bacterial SSU rRNA
Rfam family: Bacterial small subunit ribosomal RNA
Source: RNAcentral